Molecule: ribosomal RNA, 497 nt
Filed under: uncultured bacterium
Lineage: Bacteria
Description: partial 16S ribosomal RNA
Rfam family: Bacterial small subunit ribosomal RNA
Source: RNAcentral
GACGAACGCUGGCGGCGUGCCUAAUACAUGCAAGUAGAACGCUGAAGAGAGGAGCUUGCUCUUCUUGGAUGAGUUGCGAACGGGUGAGUAACGCGUAGGUAACCUGCCUUGUAGCGGGGGAUAACUAUUGGAAACUAUAGCUAAUACCGCAUAACAAUGGAUGACACAUGUCUUUUAUUUGAAAGGGGCAAUUGUUCCACUACAAUAUGGACCUGCGUUGUAUUAGCUAGUAGGUGAGGUAAUGGCUCACCUAGGCGACGAUACAUAGCCGACCUGAGAGGGUGAUCGGCCACACUGGGACUGAGACACGGCCCAGACUCCUACGGGAGGCAGCAGUAGGGAAGCUUCGGCAAUGGGGGGAACCCUGACCGAGCAACGCCGCGUGAGGGAAGAAGGUUUUCGGAUCGUAAAGCUCUGUUGUAAGUCAAGAACGGGUGUGAGAGUGGAAAGUUCACACUGUGACGGUAGCUUACCAGAAAGGGACGGCUAACUACGUG